This 66-nucleotide transfer RNA is filed under the name Cottunculus microps. RNAcentral describes it as "tRNA-Cys". Lineage: Eukaryota; Metazoa; Chordata; Actinopteri; Perciformes; Psychrolutidae. The record is from RNAcentral.
AGUCCCAAGGUGUUCAACAUAUAAGAUUGCAAAUCUUAAGACGCAGACUAACAUCUGCUGGGACUU